AUGCUCCCCGCCGCGGCGGCCUCGACGCUCCGGUUUGCCUUUGAUGCCGAGGAGGUCACACCGAACAUGACGCUGCAUGGGCUGGCGCAAUGCACGGAGGACCUGCCCGCCGAGGAGUGCAGCCGGUGCCUGGCAUCGCACAUGGUCUGGCUCGCCGGAUGCUGCGCCGACAUGGACGGUGUCCGUCUAAACGGGCCCAGCUGCUACCUGCGCUAUGAGUUCAUGGCCUUCAUCCCCAGCAUGCCGCCGUCCAUGGCACCCCUGCUACCUCCUCCUCCGGCGUCUGAAUCAGGGACUCCCUCAGGGAGGAAGAAGGCUAGAACAUACAUACUUGCGGGGACCCUGAGUGCAUUGGCGCUGCUGUGCCUCUGUCUUCUGGGAGCAUUUCUGUAUUACAAGAAGAAGUUUCAUGGCUCACUUCCUCCCAUGCCCUGGAAGAGGGACACACCGACGAUUGAAUCCUUCCUGCGGCGGCAACAUCCGAGGAGGUACAGCUACUCGCAAGUGAAACGGAUGACGAAAUCUUUCUCGCACAAACUUGGCCACGGCGGCAACGGUGUGGUCUACAAAGGCAGACUCCCGGAUGGCCGUGAGAUUGCCGUGAAGAUGCUCAAGGACAACAGGGACGUCGAUGGCGAGGAUUUCAUGACUGAGGUCGCCAGCAUCAGCAGGACCUCCCAUGUCAACGUCGUCACGCUGCUGGGAUUCUGCUUGCAGGGUAGAUCUAAAAGGGGACUCAUCUAUGAGUUCAUGCCGAAUGGCUCCCUUGAAAGAUACACUUCUGGGAGAGGCACUGAGCACAACUCACUUGGCUGGGAGACACUGUUCGACAUUGCUGUCGGCAUUGCGCGAGGCCUCGAGUACCUGCACAGAGGUUGCAACGCCGCACAUUGUGCAUUUUGA
This 903-nucleotide ribosomal RNA is filed under the name Triticum aestivum (bread wheat). Its description in RNAcentral is "partial small subunit ribosomal RNA". Lineage: Eukaryota; Viridiplantae; Streptophyta; Magnoliopsida; Poales; Poaceae. The record is from RNAcentral.